Molecule: ribosomal RNA, 431 nt
Filed under: uncultured bacterium
Lineage: Bacteria
Description: bacterial SSU rRNA
Rfam family: Bacterial small subunit ribosomal RNA
Source: RNAcentral
GUGGGGAAUAUUGCGCAAUGGGGGAAACCCUGACGCAGCAACGCCGCGUGGAGGAUGAAGGCCCCUGGGUCGUAAACUCCUGUCAGAGGGGACGAACGUCAUGAUGGCCAAUACCCAUCAUGCCUGACGGUACCCUCAGAGGAAGCUCCGGCUAACUCCGUGCCAGCAGCCGCGGUAAGACGGAGGGAGCAAGCGUUGCUCGGAAUUACUGGGCGUAAAGGGCGUGUAGGUGGGAUGGUAAGUCGGAUGUGAAAGCCCCGGGCUCAACUCGGGAAGUGCAUUCGAUACUACUGUUCUUGAGUAUGGUAGGGGAGAGCGGAAUUCCCAGUGUAGCGGUGAAAUGCGUAGAUAUUGGGAAGAACACCUGUGGCGAAGGCGGCUCUCUGGACCAUUACUGACGCUGAGGCGCGAAAGCCAGGGGAGCAAACGGG